This 617-nucleotide ribosomal RNA is filed under the name Staphylococcus aureus. Its description in RNAcentral is "bacterial SSU rRNA". It matches the Rfam family "Bacterial small subunit ribosomal RNA", at positions 196 to 801 of the family's 1533-position model. The record is from RNAcentral. Lineage: Bacteria; Bacillati; Bacillota; Bacilli; Caryophanales; Staphylococcaceae.
AAAAGUGAAAGACGGUCUUGCUGUCACUUAUAGAUGGAUCCGCGCUGCAUUAGCUAGUUGGUAAGGUAACGGCUUACCAAGGCAACGAUGCAUAGCCGACCUGAGAGGGUGAUCGGCCACACUGGAACUGAGACACGGUCCAGACUCCUACGGGAGGCAGCAGUAGGGAAUCUUCCGCAAUGGGCGAAAGCCUGACGGAGCAACGCCGCGUGAGUGAUGAAGGUCUUCGGAUCGUAAAACUCUGUUAUUAGGGAAGAACAUAUGUGUAAGUAACUGUGCACAUCUUGACGGUACCUAAUCAGAAAGCCACGGCUAACUACGUGCCAGCAGCCGCGGUAAUACGUAGGUGGCAAGCGUUAUCCGGAAUUAUUGGGCGUAAAGCGCGCGUAGGCGGUUUUUUAAGUCUGAUGUGAAAGCCCACGGCUCAACCGUGGAGGGUCAUUGGAAACUGGAAAACUUGAGUGCAGAAGAGGAAAGUGGAAUUCCAUGUGUAGCGGUGAAAUGCGCAGAGAUAUGGAGGAACACCAGUGGCGAAGGCGACUUUCUGGUCUGUAACUGACGCUGAUGUGCGAAAGCGUGGGGAUCAAACAGGAUUAGAUACCCUGGUAGUCCACGCC